Molecule: ribosomal RNA, 329 nt
Filed under: uncultured eukaryote
Lineage: Eukaryota
Description: partial 18S ribosomal RNA
Rfam family: Eukaryotic small subunit ribosomal RNA
Source: RNAcentral
CCCCUAGAUGUUCUGGGCCGCACGCGCGCUACACUGAACAGUUCAACAAGUCUUAACCUUGGCCGAUAGGUCUGGGUAAUCUUUGAACGCUGUUCGUGAUUGGGAUAGACCUUUGCAAUUAUGGGUCUUCAACGAGGAAUUCCUAGUAAACGCAAGUCAUCAGCUUGCAUUGAUUACGUCCCUGCCCUUUGUACACACCGCCCGUCGCACCUACCGAUUGAAUGGUCCGGUGAAAAUUUCGGACAGUGACGAUGCUGGCGGUCCGCCGCCGGCGCUGUCGCUGGAAGAUCUUUAAACCUUAUCAUUUAGAGGAAGGAGAAGUCGUANCA